UACAGAGGGUGCAAGCGUUGUUCGGAAUUAUUGGGCGUAAAGGGAGUGUAGGCGGUCUGGAAAGUCUUCUGUGAAAUCUACGGGCUUAGCCUGUAACGUGCAGAGGAAACUACCAGGCUUGAGUGUCGGAGAGGAUAGGGGAAUUCCCGGUGUAGAGGUGAAAUUCGUAGGGAUCGGGAGGAACACCAGUGGCGAAGGCGCCUAUCUGGCUGACAACUGACGCUGAGACUCGAAAGCAUGGGGAGCAAACAGG
Molecule: ribosomal RNA, 253 nt
Filed under: uncultured bacterium
Lineage: Bacteria
Description: partial 16S ribosomal RNA
Rfam family: Bacterial small subunit ribosomal RNA
Source: RNAcentral